RNAcentral lists this ribosomal RNA (433 nucleotides) under uncultured bacterium. Its description in RNAcentral is "partial 16S ribosomal RNA". It matches the Rfam family "Bacterial small subunit ribosomal RNA", at positions 29 to 507 of the family's 1533-position model. The record is from RNAcentral.
AACGAACGCUGGCGGCAUGCCUAACACAUGCAAGUCGAACGAUGCCUCCGGGCGUGGUGGCUCACGGGUGCGGCGCGCGUGGGACUCUGCCUUUCGGCUCCGGAUACCUCAUUGAAACUUGAGCUAAUGUCGGAUAACGUCCCAAGAUCAAAGAUUGAUCAAACAAGUAUGAGCCGGCGUAGGUUUAGCUUGUGGCGGAGGUAAAGGCCCACCACGGCUACGCUCCUUAGCUGGUCUGAGAGGAAGAGCAGCCACACUGGGUCUGUGACGCGGCGCGGACUCCUACGGAAGGCAGCAGUGGGGAAUAUUGGACAAUGGGGGAAGGCAUGAAGCCGCAAGGCCGGGAGAGUGAUUAAGGCCUUAGGGAUGAAAAGCAGUUUUACCCGGGAAGAUAAUGACGGUACCGAGAGAAUAAGCCCCGGCUAACUCCGUG